CUGGUGCACCAGUUGUUCCGCCAGGAGCACAGCUGGGUAGCUAAGUGCGGACGGGAUAAGCGCUGAAAGCAUCUAAGCGUGAAGCCCCCCUCAAGAUGAGAUUUCCCAAUUAGUAAGACCCCUUGAAGACGACAAGGUUGAUAGGCCUGAGGUGGAAGUGCAGCAAUGCAUGGAGCUGACAGGUACUAAUCGGUCGAGGGCUUAUCCA
RNAcentral lists this ribosomal RNA (208 nucleotides) under Paenibacillus barengoltzii J12. Its description in RNAcentral is "23S rRNA. Bacterial LSU". It matches the Rfam family "Bacterial large subunit ribosomal RNA", at positions 2709 to 2925 of the family's 2925-position model. The record is from RNAcentral. Lineage: Bacteria; Bacillati; Bacillota; Bacilli; Caryophanales; Paenibacillaceae.